RNAcentral lists this transfer RNA (70 nucleotides) under Bos taurus (domestic cattle). It matches the Rfam family "tRNA". Rfam says of the family: Transfer RNA (tRNA) molecules are approximately 80 nucleotides in length. The record is from Rfam by way of RNAcentral. Lineage: Eukaryota; Metazoa; Chordata; Mammalia; Artiodactyla; Bovidae.
UCCCUGGUGGCUCAGACAGUAAAGCGUCUGCCUGCAAUGCAGGAGUCCAGGUUUGAUCCCUGUGUGGGAA